RNAcentral lists this ribosomal RNA (253 nucleotides) under uncultured bacterium. RNAcentral's name for it is "partial 16S ribosomal RNA". It matches the Rfam family "Bacterial small subunit ribosomal RNA", at positions 524 to 776 of the family's 1533-position model. The record is from RNAcentral.
UACGAAGGUCCCGAGCGUUAUUCGGAAUCACUGGGCGUAAAGGGAGCGUAGGCGGCGCGGUAAGUCGGAUGUGAAAUCCCGGGGCUCAACCCCGGAACUGCAUCUGAUACUGCCGUGCUAGAGUAAUGGAGGGGUAGCUGGAAUUCUUGGUGUAGCAGUGAAAUGCGUGGAUAUCAAGAGGAACACUCGUGGCGAAAGCGAGCUACUGGACAUUUACUGACGCUGAGGCACGAAAGUGUGGGGAUCAAACAGG